Molecule: ribosomal RNA, 449 nt
Filed under: uncultured bacterium
Lineage: Bacteria
Description: partial 16S ribosomal RNA
Rfam family: Bacterial small subunit ribosomal RNA
Source: RNAcentral
AACGAACGCUGGCGGCAGGCUUAACACAUGCAAGUCGAGCGCCCUAGCAAUAGGGAGUGGCAGACGGGUGAGUAACGCGUGGGAACCUACCUUGUAGUGCGGAAUAGCCCCGGGAAACUGGGAUUAAUACCGCAUACGCCCUUAGGGGGAAAGAUUUAUCGCUAUAAGAUGGGCCCGCGUUAGAUUAGCUAGUUGGUGGGGUAAUGGCCUACCAAGGCGACGAUCUAUAGCUGGUCUGAGAGGACGACCAGCCACACUGGGACUGAGACACGGCCCAGACUCCUACGGGAGGCAGCAGUGGGGAACAUUGGACAAUGGGCGAAAGCCUGAUCCAGCCAUGCCGCGUGAGUGAUGAAGGCCUUCGGGUUGUAAAGCUCUUUUAGUAAGGAGGAUAAUGACGGUACCUACAGAAAAAGUCCCGGCUAACUUCGUGCCAGCAGCCGCCGUAA